GUUCCUGGUUGUAUGCCUGAGAUAUGAUAGUUUGAUUUGUUGUCACUCCGAUCUGAACACACUGACUACUUCUUUGAUUAGCUAGAACACUUGAAGUAUCAACCUUGGUACAUUUGAUCUCAUCCCCUUGAGAAGCACUACUUUGUGCCAAAUUUUGAUGAAGUACAUAAGAAGCAGCUUUCCUUGUGCAUCCAAUCAAUGGUUUGCUUGCUGAUCUACAUAACUGGCUGGAUGUCAAGGUUUUCGAGGUGGCAGUAUCACAUUCUGACAAGG
RNAcentral lists this unclassified non-coding RNA (273 nucleotides) under Hevea brasiliensis (rubber tree). Lineage: Eukaryota; Viridiplantae; Streptophyta; Magnoliopsida; Malpighiales; Euphorbiaceae. The record is from RNAcentral.